UCUGGUGUCAGCCGCCGCGGUAAAACCAGCACCUCAAGUGGUCAGGAUGAUUAUUGGGCCUAAAGCAUCCGUAGCUCGUUUUGUAAGUUUUCGGUUAAAUCCAUGCGCUCAACGUAUGGGCUGCCGGGAAUACUGCAUAACUAGGAAGUGGGAGAGGUAGACGGUACUCGGUAGGAAGGGGUAAAAUCCUUUGAUCUAUUGAUGACCACCUGUGGCGAAGGCGGUCUACCAGAACACGUUCGACGGUGAGGGAUGAAAGCUGGGGGAGCAAAUCGGAUUAGAUACCCGGGUAGUCCCAGCUGUAAACUAUGCAAACUCAGUGAUGCAUUGGCUUGUGGCCAAUGCAGUGCUGCAGGGAAGCCGUUAAGUUUGCCGCCUGGGAAGUACGUACGCAAGUAUGAAACUUAAAG
This 410-nucleotide ribosomal RNA is filed under the name uncultured Nitrososphaerota archaeon. Its description in RNAcentral is "bacterial SSU rRNA". It matches the Rfam family "Archaeal small subunit ribosomal RNA", at positions 451 to 861 of the family's 1478-position model. Lineage: Archaea; Thermoproteati; Nitrososphaerota. The record is from RNAcentral.